GGAGGGCAAGUCUGGUGCCAGCAGCCGCGGUAAUUCCAGCUCCAAUAGCGUAUAUUAAAGUUGUUGCAGUUAAAAAGCUCGUAGUUGGAUUUCUGUUAAUAAUUUAUAUAUAAUAUUUGAUUAAUAUUUAUAUAAUAUUAACAUAAUUCAUAUUACUAAAUUUAUUAGUAUAUGAAAUUUUACUUUGAGAAAAUUAGAGUGCUUAAAGCAGGCAUAUGCCUUGAAUACUCCAGCAUGGAAUAAUAUUAAAGAUUUUUAUCUUUCUUAUUGGUUCUAAGAUAAAAAUAAUGAUUAAUAGGGACAGUUGGGGGCAUUUGUAUUUAACAGUCAGAGGUGAAAUUCUUAGAUUUGUUAAAGACAAACUAAUGCGAAAGCAUUUGCCAAGGAUGUUUUCAUUAAUCAAGAACGAAAGUUAGGGGAUCGAAGACGAUCAGAUACCGUCGUAGUCUUAACCAUAAACUAUGCCAACUAGAGAUUGGAGGUUGUUCCUUACUCCUUCAGCACCUUA
This 508-nucleotide ribosomal RNA is filed under the name Cryptosporidium meleagridis. Its description in RNAcentral is "SSU rRNA". It matches the Rfam family "Eukaryotic small subunit ribosomal RNA", at positions 550 to 1090 of the family's 1831-position model. The record is from RNAcentral. Lineage: Eukaryota; Apicomplexa; Conoidasida; Eucoccidiorida; Cryptosporidiidae.